GACGAACGCUGGCGGCGUGCUUAACACAUGCAAGUCGAACGAAGAGCGAUGGAAGCUUGCUUCUAUCAAUCUUAGUGGCGAACGGGUGAGUAACGCGUAAUCAACCUGCCCUUAAGAGGGGGACAACAGUUGGAAACGACUGCUAAUACCGCAUACGAUCUAAUCUCGGCAUCGAGGAUAGAUGAAAGGUGGCCUCUACAUGUAAGCUAUCACUGAAGGAGGGGAUUGCGUCUGAUUAGCUAGUUGGAGGGGUAACAGCCCACCAAGGCGAUGAUCAGUAGCCGGUCUGAGAGGAUGAACGGCCACAUUGGGACUGAGACACGGCCCAGACUCCUACGGGAGGCAGCAGUGGGGAAUCUUCCGCAAUGGACGAAAGUCUGACGGAGCAACGCCGCGUGAGUGAUGACGGCCUUCGGGUUGUAAAGCUCUGUUAAUCGGGACGAAAGGCCUUCUUGCGAAUAGUGAGAAGGAUUGACGGUACCGGAAUAGAAAGCCACGGCUAACUACGUG
RNAcentral lists this ribosomal RNA (510 nucleotides) under uncultured bacterium. RNAcentral's name for it is "partial 16S ribosomal RNA". It matches the Rfam family "Bacterial small subunit ribosomal RNA", at positions 28 to 507 of the family's 1533-position model. The record is from RNAcentral.